AGGAGCACAAAAGAAUGUACAGACAGAUCUUAAAGCCACCAGAGAGUAAGGGAAGCAGGGAUGGGCAGAGGGAGAAGUUAAAUACCGAUUCAGUCUUCACGGUGCUUGGCUGACCCCAGGGGAGUCCUGGAGCUUGGAUGGUGCCUUCAGAAAGGUCCCAAAAUGAGGCUGUUGACAAGUGACCAUCUAGCCCAGGAAGCUGGAUUGUUUUAAUGCCCUUCAAGGUCCAGCAAAGACAAGGAUGACAACCAUAUUUGCAAGCCAGUCCCCAUACUACCAAUGUUCUUUCUACAAGAAGUAGGAAUCCCCUGUAUAAUGAGGAUGAAGAAAACCCUCAAGCAAGAGAAAAAGAAAAGAAGACAAUCAAAGAGAGAAGUUCUCAGCUUGUUGGGAGAUAUGGGCUGCAGCUACAGUUAACUCAGUGGAUGUAGAAGAUAUGGAGUGGGGAACAACAGUGUUUGCUACUCUGGUCCUUCAAGUUUUUAUUGAGUGUUUUGAAGUAGGGAUUGUAUAAUGGGUGCCCAUUUCUCUCCACGGUGCCCAGCAGAGUUCUAGGAGGUAGAGACGUCUGUUGUGUUUGCUUUUUCUUCACCUUUUGGUGGUUCUUCACUAAUCUAUGCAUGAAUUCAUUUUGAAACCUAUAUCCCAUUUUCCUUCUGGGAAGUCAUUUUCUCUCCUCCUCUUAGCUCAUGAAUUCCCAGUGAAAUUGAAUCCACUGUGAAUUCAGUGGAAUUGCCUCCAGAGGUGGUCAGGGAAAUCAGGUCCGGUCAGUUAGAGUAUUUUAUUCUCUGACUACAGUAAUCAGUUCAGAAAGAGUAAGUGACAAAAUCAUAGC
RNAcentral lists this long non-coding RNA (835 nucleotides) under Pongo abelii (Sumatran orangutan). Its description in RNAcentral is "lincRNA". The record is from RNAcentral. Lineage: Eukaryota; Metazoa; Chordata; Mammalia; Primates; Hominidae.